This 269-nucleotide ribosomal RNA is filed under the name uncultured prokaryote. Its description in RNAcentral is "partial 16S ribosomal RNA". It matches the Rfam family "Bacterial small subunit ribosomal RNA", at positions 524 to 792 of the family's 1533-position model. The record is from RNAcentral.
UACGUAGGUGGCAAGCGUUAUCCGGAUUUACUGGGCGUAAAGAGGGCGUAGGCGGUCUUAUAAGUCAGAUGUAAAAUCUCUCGGCUUAACCGGGAGGGAUCAUUUGAUACUGUUAGACUAGAGGGCAGCAGAAGGAGGUGGAAUUCCCGGUGUAGUGGUGAAAUGCGUAGAUAUCGGGAGGAACACCAGUGGCGAAGGCGGCCUCCUAGGCUGUUUCUGACGCUGAGGUCCGAAAGCGUGGGGAGCGAACAGGAUUAGAUACCCCCGUA